UACGUAGGGGGCAAGCGUUAUCCGGAUUUACUGGGUGUAAAGGGAGCGUAGACGGUGAUGCAAGUCAGAAGUGAAAGCCCGGGGCCCAACUCCGGGACUGCUUUUGAAACUGUGUGACUCGAGUUCAGACGAGGUAGGCGGAAUAAGUUAAGUAGCGGUGAAAUGCUUAGAUAUAACUUAGAACUCCGAUAGCGAAGGCAGCUUACCAGACUGCGACUGACGCUGAAGCACGAGAGCGUGGGUAGCGAACAGG
RNAcentral lists this ribosomal RNA (253 nucleotides) under uncultured bacterium. RNAcentral describes it as "partial 16S ribosomal RNA". It matches the Rfam family "Bacterial small subunit ribosomal RNA", at positions 524 to 776 of the family's 1533-position model. The record is from RNAcentral.